ACAUUCUACUAUCAUGUGUAACUAAGAACAAGUAAAAAAUUAAUAAAAAGAAAGCCAGGUGUGGUGGUGCAAUCCUGGCGGCUUGGAAAGCUGAGGCAGGAGAUCACAAGUUCCAGGCCAGCCUUAGCAACUUCACAAGGCCCUAAGCAACUUAGUGAGACUUUGUCUGGGAUGUAACAGUAAAGUACCCCUGAGUACCCCUGAGUUCCAUCCCCAGUACCAAAAUAUAAAAUAAAAGUUGGGGGGAGGAGGAAUCCCAUAUGGUGAAUGCAGUAUACUGAAAUGGAGACAUUAGAGGGCCACUGUCACAGUCCAUGGUAGGCAGGACACAGAAGCAUCACAAAAGGGAUUCAAGUGUCAUAUUGCAGUGAUGCAACUCUGGAGUGUGAAAACACACUAAAUAUUCACAGAGUCCUGCCGAAGACCAAGAAUGAAGAAAGCCAACUCUUAAUAUGGUCUAGCAGGAAUUAGAAGUGCUCAAAAAAAAAAAUGACCCUACUUAUUUAGGGUGACAUGUUGAGAUGUCUUUGCAUUUUGAAAAGAGCUGAUUGAUUUCACAAUGUUUACUAAAGUUUUCUAGAUGUCUGUGACCUCCAGAAGUUGAAUAAAAUCUUGUGGCUAGAGCCCUGGUGUGAUAUAAAGCUAUGAUGAGGUAUUUUCCUUAAAUGGAG
RNAcentral lists this long non-coding RNA (671 nucleotides) under Marmota monax (woodchuck). The record is from RNAcentral. Lineage: Eukaryota; Metazoa; Chordata; Mammalia; Rodentia; Sciuridae.